UACGUCUUUUAUUUUACCCGAUCACGGUGCUAGCUUACGUUGGCAGCAGUUCGAAGAAAUGGUCAUUGUUAUCGUUAUUAUGGUUUUGGUCUAAGUCGGUUUUUUCAGGUCUACAAUCAGGCAGGCGAGCGCUGUAGCAGGUUUACUUCCAAGCAGUAGGUCUCAGAGAAUACCUUGAAAAACCAGACAGAGUCUGCAUCCCAAAGCAAGUGAAAAUGCAAAUAGAAAGCGGUUCAACACAAAAUUCACAAGAUCUUAACCCAUCGGAUGCAAAAAAUAACAUGGAAUCCCGUGAAAAGAAUAUGGAAAAUGGUGAAGAAGACGAAGAUUACUCGGAAUACAUUCCUGUGAAGAAGCGCAGACUUAUGGAAGCUCAAAAGAUUUUGCAAAGAAAGGGGAAGGGUUCUCUGGACGCAGAACAAGCAGCCAAGGCGGCAGAGGCGAAACCUAGCUUACUCGUAAAGGCCUCGCAGCUCAAAAAGGAUUUACCCGAAAUAAGCCCUACAGAGCAGCUCCUACAGCAGGAAAAAGAAAUGAUUGAAAGGCUUUCUGACCGGAAAACCCUAAUGUCCGUAAGGGAACUGGCCAAGGGAAUUCAAUACCACGAGCCCAUGGUAACCGGCUGGAAACCGCCUACUGCAAUCCGUCACAUGACGGAGUCAGAAUGCGAUGCCGUCAGAAAACAGUGGCAUAUUUUGGUCGAUGGCGAGCAAAUUCCUCCUCCGAUUAAGAAUUUUAAGGACAUGAGGCUCCCCGAGCCUAUACUGAAGAAGCUCAAGUUGAAAGGGAUUGUGCAGCCGACGCCUAUACAGGUUCAGGGUUUGCCAGUCAUACUUUCCGGCCGUGAUAUGAUUGGGAUUGCUUUUACUGGCUCGGGGAAAACCCUGGUUUUUGUGUUGCCUUUGAUUAUGGCGGCUUUACAGGAAGAAGUAACUUUCCCGAUCAUUGCCGGUGAAGGUCCAUUUGGAUUGGUGAUUUGUCCCUCGAGAGAGCUUGCCAGGCAGACGUUUGAGGUUGUGGAGGAGUUUGUAGGGGUUCUGAAGGAGCGAGGGUAUCCAGAACUGCGGCCAAUGCUCUGCAUUGGAGGAAUUGAUAUGAGAUCUCAGUUGGAAGUUGUGAAGAAAGGAGUUCAUAUUGUUAUCGCCACGCCUGGCCGAUUGAAGGAUAUGCUGGCAAAGAAGAAGAUGAAUCUCGAUAAUUGCAGGUACCUAACUCUAGAUGAGGCAGAUAGGCUGGUUGAUCUUGGAUUUGAGGAUGACAUUAGAGAGGUUUUUGAUCAUUUUAAAGCCCAACGUCAAACCUUGCUCUUUUCUGCAACUAUGCCAAAGAAAAUACAGAAUUUUGCAAGAAGUGCUCUGGUCAAGCCUGUAACUGUGAAUGUAGGUAGAGCUGGUGCAGCAAACUUGGAUGUCAUACAGGAAGUGGAGUAUGUCAAACAAGAGGCAAAGAUUGUUUAUCUAUUGGAAUGUUUGCAGAAGACUCCACCUCCUGUUCUCAUCUUCUGUGAAAAUAAGGCAGACGUGGAUGAUAUUCAUGAAUAUCUCCUUUUGAAAGGUGUAGAAGCUGUGGCAAUACAUGGAGGAAAGGAUCAGGAAGAAAGAGAGUAUGCAAUUUCAGCUUUCAAAGCUGGCAAAAAGGAUGUCUUAGUGGCAACUGAUGUCGCAUCAAAGGGGCUUGAUUUUCCUGACAUUCAGCAUGUUAUUAAUUAUGAUAUGCCUGCAGAAAUAGAGAAUUAUGUGCACAGAAUUGGCAGGACUGGAAGGUGUGGAAAAACUGGAAUUGCAACCACCUUUAUCAAUAAGAACCAAAGUGAGACAACUCUUCUUGACCUCAAACAUCUCUUAAAGGAAGCCAAACAGAGGAUACCACCUGUGCUGGCAACACUGGAUGAUCCUAUGGAGAAUGUCGAUGCUAUUGUUAGUGCAAGUGGAGUAAAGGGCUGUGCUUAUUGUGGAGGACUUGGGCAUCGCAUUGGAGAGUGUCCAAAACUCGAGCAUCAAAAGAGCGUGGCUAUUGCAGGCACAAGACGCGACUAUUUCGGUUCUGGGGGAUAUGGAGGGGAGAUCUGAUAUUUGUUUGGCUUUAUUCACUGGAGCCCUAUCCAAGCAUUAGAGCUCUUAGCACUAAAGAUCAUUACUUAAAAAAUGAUGGAAAAAUUCCAUCAGCUUGCAAAUCCAUUUUAGGGCCACAAAUAUAGCUUUGUUUGUAUGUCUUGAGUGCUUUUCAGUAUCUGCAAAGUUGGGAAUGAAUGCAUUCGGCCUUGCCGAGUGGGGAGUAGUUCAUCUAUGCUUCAGAUCGACAAUUGCAGAAUGCUCUGAUCACUUUUCUGAGUUUGCUGAUGAAGAGAUUAUUGUAGGUGGCGCGUUUGAAGUUUUGAGGCGGUGGCAGGAAACUUGGAAAGGCAUGAAACACUGAGCUGAUCUAACCUUAUCGCGUUGUACAAUGGGAUAUAUUAUUCUUUGUAAUCAUAUUUCAAAACUUCUAAAGUUGACAGUUGCUUCUGAAGGUCUUAUUCUCUUCACAGCUUGAGAGAAUAAAUGUGGCUGUUGGGGCACACUGAUAAAUUUCUUACUAAUUGAUAAUGCUACUUUCUAGUAUCUGUCCUCAAAGUUCCCUCUUAUUUCACAAAAUGCUAAGUGAAGGAUCAGUUUUUGGCAACCUAAGAAAGUUUUUACUUUAUCA
RNA transcript from Cryptomeria japonica (Japanese cedar), 2682 nucleotides. It is a transcript of the gene named DEAD-box ATP-dependent RNA helicase 35, with no coding region annotated. NCBI's taxonomy places the organism in Eukaryota, Viridiplantae, Streptophyta, Pinopsida, Cupressales, Cupressaceae. The transcript has 6 exons. The record is from RefSeq and is a predicted model, not a curated record.